Molecule: ribosomal RNA, 459 nt
Filed under: uncultured bacterium
Lineage: Bacteria
Description: partial 16S ribosomal RNA
Rfam family: Bacterial small subunit ribosomal RNA
Source: RNAcentral
CCUACGGGAGGCAGCAGUGAGGAAUAUUGGUCAAUGGGCGCGAGCCUGAACCAGCCAAGUCGCGUGAGGGAAGACGGUCCUAUGGAUUGUAAACCUCUUUUGUCGGGGAGCAAAAGACGCCACGCGUGGCGUUCCGAGAGUACCCGAAGAAAAAGCAUCGGCUAACUCCGUGCCAGCAGCCGCGGUAAUACUGAGGAUGCGAGCGUUAUCCGGAUUUAUUGGGUUUAACGGGUGCGCAGGCGGAAGAUCAAGUCAGCGGUAAAAUUGAGAGGCUCAACCUCUUCGAGCCGUUGAAACUGUUGAACUAGAUUGCAGGAGAGGUAAGUGGAAUUCCUAGUGUAGCGGUGAAAUGCGUAGAUAUUAGGAGGAACACCAGUGGCGAAGGCGGCUUACUGGACUGUAAAUGACGCUGAGGCUCGAAAGCGUGGGGAGCAAACAAGAUUAGAUACCCCAGUAGUC